Non-coding RNA from Macaca mulatta (Rhesus monkey), 805 nucleotides. The record is from RefSeq and is a predicted model, not a curated record. NCBI's taxonomy places the organism in Eukaryota, Metazoa, Chordata, Mammalia, Primates, Cercopithecidae.
CCACUCUGUUGCCCAGGCUGGUCUCAGACUCCUGAGCUCAGGCAUUCCUCUCACUUCGGCCUCCUGAAGUGCCACAGGUGUGAGCAGCCAUGCCCAGCUAUGGCCUCGGUGUCUUCAUCUGAAAAAGAAGAUGGCGACACCCACUUUGUGGUGCUGUUGUCAGGCUCUAAUAAGGUGCUAUGAUGAAUUGCUGUCCUCACUCAACCAACCCAGGACCACCAGGAACAAAGCCUACUCUGACAAAGCCUACAAAGUGAUGUUCAUUGACACAUUGCAAAGACCACACACCAGCAGAACCAUAGGGUAUCUCCCCAAACAAAGGAAAAGAAAAGAAUUACAGUAUGGGGCAUGGGGAAGAGUGGAAUUUAAGCGAAAUGUAUUUUGACAGACUCAAAGCAAGAUAGGUCUAAAUGUAAAGGUAUCAUCCUAAGUUCUGGACUAUGAAGCAGUUUGCUGGGAACAAAUGGAACAAAUGGAACACUAUGAAGUGUUUGCUGGGAAGCAAUAAGACUAUUAUCCAUAGCUGUGGGCUACUGUGUCCAGAAACCCCUCCUCCAAAGCUCUCUCCCUAGGGUUUAAAUCAAGGCUGCUUCUCUCUCAGUGACUUAGAUCCUCCAGGCAAGGGUGAGAUAUUUCACUCUAACAUCAUUUCAAACAGCGAUGUUUCUGAUAGUCUAGGAUUCUAGAGAAGAAAGGUUUCUCAGUGAGUCAGAAGACACUACUCACUCCAAGAAGGGGGUUUUUGUGACCCUUUACCACUACAGCAUGCCCCUUGCGAGAAAUAUUAUUUAUUGUUCACUUUGAA